RNAcentral lists this transfer RNA (73 nucleotides) under Stegodyphus mimosarum. It matches the Rfam family "tRNA". Rfam says of the family: Transfer RNA (tRNA) molecules are approximately 80 nucleotides in length. Their secondary structure includes four short double-helical elements and three loops (D, anti-codon, and T loops). The record is from Rfam by way of RNAcentral. Lineage: Eukaryota; Metazoa; Arthropoda; Arachnida; Araneae; Eresidae.
GCCUGCGUGGUGUAAUGGUCAGCAAACUCGACUCAUAUUUGAGAGGUCCGAAGUUCGAGUCCUGUCGAGGGCG